This 253-nucleotide ribosomal RNA is filed under the name uncultured bacterium. RNAcentral describes it as "partial 16S ribosomal RNA". It matches the Rfam family "Bacterial small subunit ribosomal RNA", at positions 524 to 776 of the family's 1533-position model. The record is from RNAcentral.
UACAGAGGUCUCAAGCGUUGUUCGGAUUCAUUGGGCGUAAAGGGUGCGUAGGUGGCAUGGUAAGUCGGAUGUGAAAUCCCGGGGCUCAACCCCGGAACUGCAUUCGAUACUGCCAGGCUAGAGUACUGGAGAGGAGAUUGGAAUUUACGGUGUAGCAGUGAAAUGCGUAGAUAUCGUAAGGAAGACCGGUGGCGAAGGCGGGUCUCUGGACAGUUCCUGACACUGAGGCACGAAGGCCAGGGGAGCAAACGGG